RNAcentral lists this ribosomal RNA (102 nucleotides) under Lacticaseibacillus rhamnosus. RNAcentral's name for it is "partial 23S ribosomal RNA". It matches the Rfam family "Bacterial large subunit ribosomal RNA", at positions 1 to 102 of the family's 2925-position model. Lineage: Bacteria; Bacillati; Bacillota; Bacilli; Lactobacillales; Lactobacillaceae. The record is from RNAcentral.
GGUUAAGUUACAAAGGGCGCACGGUGGAUGCCUUGGCACUAGGAGCCGAUGAAGGACGGAACUAAUACCGAUAUGCUUCGGGGAGCUAUAAGUAAGCUUUGA